Molecule: long non-coding RNA, 155 nt
Organism: Sebastes umbrosus (honeycomb rockfish)
Lineage: Eukaryota; Metazoa; Chordata; Actinopteri; Perciformes; Sebastidae
Exons: 2
Source: RefSeq, a predicted model, not a curated record
AAAAACAAAUCGUUCAGAGUACCGUUAAAGUACCGGAUCAAUAAGCAGUAUUGGCAAGAGUAGUAAAUAUAAGAAUCGGAACCAAAACAACUUGAUCGGGACGUCCCCAGAUUGUUUCCUCUGCGUGUGUGCGUUUUAACAGCCAAUAAGAGGAG